GGUGUUUCUUGGGUGACACACCCUGGAAUCGGGUUCCCUCCUCCCUGGUUCUGGGUGUAUCACCCAAGAACUGCC
This is a non-coding RNA of Myotis davidii, 75 nucleotides long. NCBI's taxonomy places the organism in Eukaryota, Metazoa, Chordata, Mammalia, Chiroptera, Vespertilionidae. The record is from Rfam.